UACGUAGGGUGCGAGCGUUAAUCGGAUUUACUGGGCGUAAAGCGAGCGCAGGUGGUUUAAUAAGUCUGAUGUAAAAGGCAGUGGCUCAACCAUUGUGUGCAUUGGAAACUGUUAGACUUGAGUGCAGUAGAGGAGAGUGGAAUUCCAAGUGUAGCGGUGAAAUGCGUAGAGAUUUGGAGGAACACCAGUGGCGAAGGCGACUGUCUGGUCUGUAACUGACACUGAAACUCGAAAGCUGGGGGAGCAAACAGG
RNAcentral lists this ribosomal RNA (252 nucleotides) under uncultured microorganism. Its description in RNAcentral is "partial 16S ribosomal RNA". It matches the Rfam family "Bacterial small subunit ribosomal RNA", at positions 524 to 776 of the family's 1533-position model. The record is from RNAcentral.